Paramisgurnus dabryanus is the source of this 322-nucleotide long non-coding RNA. RefSeq lists it as uncharacterized. The record is from RefSeq and is a predicted model, not a curated record. NCBI's taxonomy places the organism in Eukaryota, Metazoa, Chordata, Actinopteri, Cypriniformes, Cobitidae.
UUCAGGAGCACAUCAGAUCAAAUAAACGGCAAUGUGGACUACACCUUCCAAGAUGGAGAUGAGAUACAACCAGUCAGCUUCCUCAAUGAGCUUCGUAAACAAAUGGGUCUGACCACUACAACGUUGUCUCCACUUUCAACAAGCAGCUUCCCUGUGACUUCUUUCCAGCAAAUAUCUGGUUCAGCAGAGGUAACAAGCAAACUGGUGUUCAACUCCUCAUCUCCAGUCCCCAGUGAAGCUUUGGUGCUCAGUGCUAUCAACAUUCUCCUGGAAUCCAGAGUUUCACAACUGAAAGAAACAGUCAAGCUAGUGAAUGUCAGCU